This 597-nucleotide ribosomal RNA is filed under the name uncultured bacterium. Its description in RNAcentral is "bacterial SSU rRNA". It matches the Rfam family "Bacterial small subunit ribosomal RNA", at positions 112 to 704 of the family's 1533-position model. The record is from RNAcentral.
AAUGCUUAGGAAUCUGCCUAUUAGUGGGGGACAACAUUCCGAAAGGAAUGCUAAUACCGCAUACGCCCUACGGGGGAAAGCAGGGGAUCUUCGGACCUUGCGCUAAUAGAUGAGCCUAAGUCAGAUUAGCUAGUUGGUGGGGUAAAGGCCUACCAAGGCGACGAUCUGUAGCGGGUCUGAGAGGAUGAUCCGCCACACUGGGACUGAGACACGGCCCAGACUCCUACGGGAGGCAGCAGUGGGGAAUAUUGGACAAUGGGCGCAAGCCUGAUCCAGCCAUGCCGCGUGUGUGAAGAAGGCCUUUUGGUUGUAAAGCACUUUAAGCGAGGAGGAGGCUACUUGGAUUAAUACUCUAGGAUAGUGGACGUUACUCGCAGAAUAAGCACCGGCUAACUCUGUGCCAGCAGCCGCGGUAAUACAGAGGGUGCGAGCGUUAAUCGGAUUUACUGGGCGUAAAGCGUGCGUAGGCGGCUUUUUAAGUCGGAUGUGAAAUCCCUGAGCUUAACUUAGGAAUUGCAUUCGAUACUGGGAAGCUAGAGUAUGGGAGAGGAUGGUAGAAUUCCAGGUGUAGCGGUGAAAUGCGUAGAGAUCUGGAGG